This 493-nucleotide ribosomal RNA is filed under the name uncultured bacterium. Its description in RNAcentral is "partial 16S ribosomal RNA". It matches the Rfam family "Bacterial small subunit ribosomal RNA", at positions 30 to 523 of the family's 1533-position model. The record is from RNAcentral.
AUUGAACGCUGGCGGCAUGCCUUACACAUGCAAGUCGAACGGUAACAGGUUAAGCUGACGAGUGGCGAACGGGUGAGUAAUAUAUCGGAACGUGCCCAGUCGUGGGGGAUAACGUAGCGAAAGCUACGCUAAUACCGCAUACGAUCUACGGAUGAAAGCGGGGGAUCGCAAGACCUCGCGCGAUUGGAGCGGCCGAUAUCAGAUUAGGUAGUUGGUGGGGUAAAGGCUCACCAAGCCAACGAUCUGUAGCUGGUCUGAGAGGACGACCAGCCACACUGGAACUGAGACACGGUCCAGACUCCUACGGGAGGCAGCAGUGGGGAAUUUUGGACAAUGGACGCAAGUCUGAUCCAGCCAUUCCGCGUGCAGGAUGAAGGCCCUCGGGUUGUAAACUGCUUUUGUACGGAACGAAAAGGUCUCUCUUAAUACGGGGGACUCAUGACGGUACCGUAAGAAUAAGCACCGGCUAACUACGUGCCAGCAGCCGCCGUAA